AGCGAGGUAGAGCAGUUGGUAGCUCGUUGGGCUCAUAACCCGAAGGUCAAUGGUUCAAGCCCAUUUCUCGCAA
Molecule: transfer RNA, 73 nt
Filed under: Nitzschia sp. NIES-3576
Lineage: Eukaryota; Bacillariophyta; Bacillariophyceae; Bacillariales; Bacillariaceae
Description: tRNA-fMet
Rfam family: tRNA
About the family: Transfer RNA (tRNA) molecules are approximately 80 nucleotides in length. Their secondary structure includes four short double-helical elements and three loops (D, anti-codon, and T loops). Further hydrogen bonds mediate the characteristic L-shaped molecular structure. tRNAs have two regions of fundamental functional importance: the anti-codon, which is responsible for specific mRNA codon recognition, and the 3' end, to which the tRNAs corresponding amino acid is attached (by aminoacyl-tRNA synthetases). tRNAs cope with the degeneracy of the genetic code in two manners: having more than one tRNA (with a specific anti-codon) for a particular amino acid; and 'wobble' base-pairing, i.e. permitting non-standard base-pairing at the 3rd anti-codon position.
Source: RNAcentral